UAAUACUCUAUGUGGUUUUUUCUCGCAUGAGAAAAAUACUAAAGCUUGUAAUGGCGCUUAAGGAGGGGCUUGCGGCCUAUCAGCUUGUUGGUGAGGUAACGGCUCACCAAAGCUAAAACGGGUAGCUGGUCUGAGAGGACGGUCAGCCACACUGGAACUGAGACACGGUCCAGACACCUACGGGUGGCAGCAGUUUCAAAUCAUUCACACUGGGCGAAAGCCUGAUGGUGCGACGUCGCGUGGGGGAUGAAGGUCUUCGGAUUGUAAACCCCUGUCAUUAGGGAGCAAAAAACAGGCUCAUACCCUGUCUUGAGUUAACCUAAAGAGGAAGUGGUGGCAAAACUCUGUGCCAGCAGCCUCGGUAAUACUAGAGACCACAAGCGUUACCUCGGAUUCACUGGGCGUAAAGGGUGCGUAAGGCGGUUGGGUAUGUCAGGUGUGAAAUCUCGGAGCUUAACUCCGAGUCCGCGGCUUGAACUACCCAGCUAGAGUUUUGGAGAGGUAAGCGGAAUUUCUGUUGUAANCGGUGAUAUGCAUAGAUAUCAGAAGGAACAACCAAUGUCGAAGGCAGCUUACUGGACAAAAACUGACGCUGAGGCACGAAAGUGUGGGUAGCAAAAAGGAUUAGAUACCCUUAUAGUCCACACCGUAAACUUUGUACACUAGGUCUCGGACAAUUCGACCUGUUCGGGA
This 693-nucleotide ribosomal RNA is filed under the name uncultured Verrucomicrobiales bacterium. RNAcentral describes it as "bacterial SSU rRNA". It matches the Rfam family "Bacterial small subunit ribosomal RNA", at positions 164 to 845 of the family's 1533-position model. Lineage: Bacteria; Pseudomonadati; Verrucomicrobiota; Verrucomicrobiia; Verrucomicrobiales. The record is from RNAcentral.